This 60-nucleotide transfer RNA is filed under the name Hyalella lucifugax. RNAcentral's name for it is "tRNA-Gln". RNAcentral also lists the same sequence under 1 other name. Lineage: Eukaryota; Metazoa; Arthropoda; Malacostraca; Amphipoda; Hyalellidae. The record is from RNAcentral.
UUUAUCUUGGUGUAAGGCACGUAAAAUUUUGAUUUUUAAGGAAAUUAUAUUUAGGUAAAU